RNAcentral lists this ribosomal RNA (323 nucleotides) under uncultured Chloroflexota bacterium. RNAcentral describes it as "bacterial SSU rRNA". It matches the Rfam family "Bacterial small subunit ribosomal RNA", at positions 28 to 351 of the family's 1533-position model. Lineage: Bacteria; Bacillati; Chloroflexota. The record is from RNAcentral.
GAUGAACGCUGGCGGCGUGCCUAAUACAUGCAAGUCGAACGGAGAAUUAGCAAUAAUUCUUAGUGGCGAACGGGUGAGUAACGCGUUGGUGACCUGCCCCGAAGUGUGGGAUACCAGUCCGAAAGGACUGCUAAUACCGCAUGUGAUCACAGGAGCUAGAGAACUGUGAUGAAAGGACGCUUGCGUCCGCUUUGGGAGGGGCCUGCGUCCCAUCAGCUAGUUGGUAGGGUAAUGGCCUACCAAGGCUACGACGGGUAGGGGACCUGAGAGGGUGGCCCCCCACAAUGGAACUGAAAUACGGUCCAUACACCUACGGGUGGCAG